This 255-nucleotide ribosomal RNA is filed under the name uncultured bacterium. Its description in RNAcentral is "partial 16S ribosomal RNA". It matches the Rfam family "Bacterial small subunit ribosomal RNA", at positions 524 to 776 of the family's 1533-position model. The record is from RNAcentral.
UACGUAGGGUCCGAGCGUUGUCCGGAAUUACUGGGCGUAAAGAGCUCGUAGGCGGCUUGUCGCGUCGGAUGUGAAAGCCCCGGGGCUUAACUCCGGGUCUGCAUUCGAUACGGGCAGGCUAGAGUUCGGUAGGGGGAGAUCGGAAUUCCUGGUGUAGCGGUGAAAUGCGCAGAUAUCAGGAGGAACACCGGUGGCGAAGGCGGAUCUCUGGGCCGAUACUGACGCUGAGGAGCGAAAGCGUGGGGAGCGAACAGG